AAACUCAAAGGAAUUGACGGGGGCCCGCACAAGCGGUGGAGUAUGUGGUUUAAUUCGACGCAACGCGAAGAACCUUACCAGGGCUUGACAUUGAGUGAAAGACUAAGAGAUUAGUUCCUAUCUUCGGAUACACGAAAACAGGUGGUGCAUGGCUGUCGUCAGCUCGUGUCGUGAGAUGUUGGGUUAAGUCCCGCAACGAGCGCAACCCUUAUCCUUUGUUGCCAGCACGUAAAGGUGGGAACUCAAGGGAGACUGCCGUCGACAAGACGGAGGAAGGCGGGGAUGACGUCAAGUCAUCAUGCCCCUUAUGUCCUGGGCUACACACGUACUACAAUGGGCUUAAACAAAGCGAAGCAAGACCGCGAGGUCAAGCAAAACGCAUAAACAAGCUCUCAGUUCGGAUCGGAGGCUGCAACUCGCCUCCGUGAAGUCGGAAUCGCUAGUAAUCGCAGGUCAGCAUACUGCGGUGAAUACGUUCCCGGGCCUUGUACACACCGCCCGUCACACCACGAAAGUUGACAACACCCGAAGCCGGUGGGGUAACCAGCAAUGGAACUAGCCGUCUAAGGUGGGGCCGAUGAUUGGGGUGAAGUCGUAACAAGGUAGCCGUAUCGGAAGGUGCGGCUGGAUCACCUCCUUUAUG
This 643-nucleotide ribosomal RNA is filed under the name uncultured Sporomusa sp. RNAcentral describes it as "bacterial SSU rRNA". It matches the Rfam family "Bacterial small subunit ribosomal RNA", at positions 897 to 1533 of the family's 1533-position model. The record is from RNAcentral. Lineage: Bacteria; Bacillati; Bacillota; Negativicutes; Selenomonadales; Sporomusaceae.